UGCAGUCGAACGAUGAAGCCUAGCUUGCUGGGUGGAUUAGUGGCGAACGGGUGAGUAACACGUGAGUAACCUGCCCUUGACUCUGGGAUAAGCGCUGGAAACGGCGUCUAAUACCGGAUAUGACCUGCCCCGGCAUCGGGUGUGGGUGGAAAGUUUUUCGGUCAAGGAUGGACUCGCGGCCUAUCAGCUUGUUGGUGAGGUAAUGGCUCACCAAGGCGACGACGGGUAGCCGGCCUGAGAGGGUGACCGGCCACACUGGGACUGAGACACGGCCCAGACUCCUACGGGAGGCAGCAGUGGGGAAUAUUGCACAAUGGGCGAAAGCCUGAUGCAGCAACGCCGCGUGGGGGAUGACGGCCUUCGGGUUGUAAACCUCUUUUAGUAGGGAAGAAGGGCUUCGGCUUGACGGUACCUGCAGAAAAAGCACCGGCUAACUACGUGCCAGCAGCCGCGGUAAUACGUAGGGUGCAAGCGUUGUCCGGAAUUAUUGGGCGUAAAGAGCUCGUAGGCGGUUUGUCGCGUCUGCUGUGAAAACCCGAGGCUCAACCUCGGGCCUGCAGUGGGUACGGGCAGACUAGAGUGCGGUAGGGGAGAAUGGAAUUCCUGGUGUAGCGGUGGAAUGCGCAGAUAUCAGGAGGAACACCGAUGGCGAAGGCAGUUCUCUGGGCCGUUACUGACGCUGAGGAGCGAAAGCGUGGGGAGCGAACAGGAUUAGAUACCCUGGUAGUCCACGCCGUAAACGUUGGGAACUAGAUGUGGGGGCCUUUCCACGGUCUCCGUGUCGCAGCUAACGCAUUAAGUUCCCCGCCUGGGGAGUACGGCCGCAAGGCUAAAACUCAAAGGAAUUGACGGGGGCCCGCACAAGCGGCGGAGCAUGCGGAUUAAUUCGAUGCAACGCGAAGAACCUUACCAAGGCUUGACAUAUACCGGAAACUUCCAGAGAUGGUUGCCCCGCAAGGUCGGUAUACAGGUGGUGCAUGGUUGUCGUCAGCUCGUGUCGUGAGAUGUUGGGUUAAGUCCCGCAACGAGCGCAACCCUCGUUCUAUGUUGCCAGCACGUGAUGGUGGGAACUCAUAGGAGACUGCCGGGGUCAACUCGGAGGAAGGUGGGGAUGACGUCAAAUCAUCAUGCCCCUUAUGUCUUGGGCUUCACGCAUGCUACAAUGGCCGGUACAAAGGGCUGCGAUACCGUAAGGUGGAGCGAAUCCCAAAAAGCCGGUCUCAGUUCGGAUUGAGGUCUGCAACUCGACCUCAUGAAGUCGGAGUCGCUAGUAAUCGCAGAUCAGCAACGCUGCGGUGAAUACGUUCCCGGGCCUUGUACACACCGCCCGUCAAGUCAUGAAAGUCGGUA
This 1350-nucleotide ribosomal RNA is filed under the name Rathayibacter agropyri. RNAcentral's name for it is "bacterial SSU rRNA". It matches the Rfam family "Bacterial small subunit ribosomal RNA", at positions 56 to 1416 of the family's 1533-position model. Lineage: Bacteria; Bacillati; Actinomycetota; Actinomycetes; Micrococcales; Microbacteriaceae. The record is from RNAcentral.